GAGCCCGGUGCUCCUCCGGGCCGAGGAGGGCCGGGAGAAGUAAGGGCAGUCACCCGGUCGGGCGCCUUCUGUCACGGAGAUGAGUGCAGACAGGCCGCGGAAGAAGAGCCGCGUCCGCCGGCGAAACUCCGCGCUAAAUGGCGCCGGGAAUCUGAAGCCUCCACACAGCCCGCUCGGGCCCCGCCCCCCGCCGCCCGGGGCGCCCCACCCCCACUCCGCUCGCGGGGCUCUCGCGCAGGCUGUCUCGCCCCGAGACCCUCUGGGACUUGUAGUUGACACCUUGAGGAAUGAACGGGACAGAGCAGGAAGACGCCUACGACUCCCGUGAUGCCCUGCGGUGGCUUAGCCUGAGGCCCCACGGGAGCUGUAGUUCCCUUUGAAACCGCCUCUUCUGGAAGGCGGAUGGGAGCGUCACCGCGGGUCGCUAAGCCUUAUCCUUUAGUGGGCGCUAGCUAGGAAAAGCAUGACUUAGGCAUUAAUUGUGGAAGAAGGGAAGAGAAAAACAGGAGAAGGACUCAGGAAGAGGGGAGAGGCUCCCACCAUGCUGUACUGAGGCGAGAGCGAGCUCUUGGGAUUGCCAUGGAUGGAAAACGAGCUGCUGUGCCUAUUUAAAUACGGUGUCGAGACCGGAGCGUGGGCGGAGAGCCGGGAGGAGCCGGACCCCUCUGCUCCGGCCACAGACUUUGUGCAUAACACUGAUUGGCUGGGGGAGGGGGGAAGCUCCCUUCCAUGGCACUUAAGGCCGCAUCCUGGGCUCCAAGCCCAGGACAGAUCCUCUGACUCGCAGAGACCAGCUGCCCCACUGCAGUCAAGGGUCACAGCGAACUCCGCCCGGAAAAAGCGCACAGCGCGCGGGAGGGGGUGGGUUCGAGAAGAAACAAGGUCUACGUAUCUUUGCGGCUUUUACCACAAACUUGAAGAGGUGCCUGAGUGUGCCCGUGUGAUCGACACCCCGGCUUUGGACGUGAGGCUUUCUCGAAAGCAUCCUCGGGCUCCCUGGACCCCUAGCUCCGCGCAGCCGCCACUCAAGAUGGUGCAGGUGAUGAGCACCAGGGGGCACCCAACGGAGCAGGAAGCCGGACCCAGACGGCGGUUGAAAGUCUUAAGCCCAACGGUAGGAGCGGGAAGCGCUGAAACGUGCGCAACGGCUCCGAGCGCGCGUGCGCUCCGCCCGGGCUCCAGCUCCGGCUCCGGCCCCGCGCCCGCGGCGGACCGGCUCCGGAGCGCACGGGCCGCGCAGCCACACUGGAAGAGUAGCGGUUGGAAGCAGCCGGACGGAAGAUUCGUUAGCGCUUCGUUUCCUAGCAAAUGCCCAAAGCUAGCUGCAUGA
This 1330-nucleotide long non-coding RNA is filed under the name Capra hircus (goat). RNAcentral describes it as "lncRNA (ENSCHIG00010008277.1)". Lineage: Eukaryota; Metazoa; Chordata; Mammalia; Artiodactyla; Bovidae. The record is from RNAcentral.